GUAACAUUUCUAGCUUGCUAGAAGAUGACGAGUGGCGGACGGGUGAGUAAUACUUAGGAAUAUGCCUUUGUGUGGGGGAUAACUAUUGGAAACGAUAGCUAAUACCGCAUAACGUCUUCGGACCAAAGGGGGCUUCGGCUCCCGCGCAAAGAGUAGCCUAAGCGAGAUUAGCUUGUUGGUGAGGUAAAGGCUCACCAAGGCGACGAUCUCUAGCUGUUCUGAGAGGAAGAUCAGCCACACUGGAACUGAGACACGGUCCAGACUCCUACGGGAGGCAGCAGUGGGGAAUAUUGCACAAUGGGGGAAACCCUGAUGCAGCCAUGCCGCGUGUGUGAAGAAGGCCUUCGGGUUGUAAAGCACUUUCAGUUGUGAGGAAAGGUUAACGGUUAAUACCCGUUAGCUGUGACGUUAGCAACAGAAGAAGGACCGGCUAACUCCGUGCCAGCAGCCGCGGUAAUACGGAGGGUCCGAGCGUUAAUCGGAAUUACUGGGCGUAAAGCGCACGCAGGCGGUUUGUUAAGCUAGAUGUGAAAGCCCUGGGCUCAACCUGGGAAUUGCAUUUAGAACUGGCAGGCUAGAGUUUUGGAGAGGGGAGUGGAAUUCCAGGUGUAGCGGUG
RNAcentral lists this ribosomal RNA (617 nucleotides) under uncultured bacterium. Its description in RNAcentral is "bacterial SSU rRNA". It matches the Rfam family "Bacterial small subunit ribosomal RNA", at positions 69 to 683 of the family's 1533-position model. The record is from RNAcentral.